UGAGAUGAAAAAAUAAAGUGACACAAUAAAACAUAGAUCGAGUGGCAUUUGACAAUGUAAAGUAAAGUGACACUAGAGUUAGUGUGUGUGGCAUCAAAGAGAACUGUGACGCAAAGAACAAUGAUAAUGAUUAGAGACAAGUAAGAAAAAUGAAAGUGGCAUAAAGAACGAGUAAAGUUAAAGAACAAUGAUUGCUAGAGUUAGCAAAAUAAAGUGAUGUAAAGAACGAUGUAAAGAACACUAGAGUUAGUGUAAAGACAAUGAUUGAACAAUAUAUCCUUAGAGUUAAGGAUCGAUCAUACUUGCUAUGAGUUCCGUGCUCGAGGGCGGUCGUUCCCCCUGGAGCGAUGCGCUCCGGAGUUUUGCAUCACGGGUUGGAGUCAACCCGAGGACAGUCUUAGCGGGAGGCAGCUGAGGACCCGCGAUGAUGGACUUAAUGUGGGCAAGUUAAUGUGGCGAAACCCCAGGUUAGCCGUGAGAUUAAAGAACAAAGAACAAAG
RNAcentral lists this long non-coding RNA (500 nucleotides) under Ananas comosus (pineapple). Its description in RNAcentral is "long non-coding RNA (ACOM_LNC019733)". Lineage: Eukaryota; Viridiplantae; Streptophyta; Magnoliopsida; Poales; Bromeliaceae. The record is from RNAcentral.